This 460-nucleotide ribosomal RNA is filed under the name uncultured bacterium. RNAcentral's name for it is "partial 16S ribosomal RNA". It matches the Rfam family "Bacterial small subunit ribosomal RNA", at positions 338 to 795 of the family's 1533-position model. The record is from RNAcentral.
CCUACGGGUGGCAGCAGUGAGGAAUAUUGGUCAAUGGGCGAGAGCCUGAACCAGCCAAGUCGCGUGAAGGAUGAAGGAUCUAUGGUUUGUAAACUUCUUUUAUAUGGGAAUAAAGUGAGGAACGAGUUCCUUUUUGUAUGUACCAUAUGAAUAAGCAUCGGCUAACUCCGUGACAGCAGCCGCGGUAAUACGGAGGAGGCGAGCGUUGUCCGGAUUUAUUGGGUGUAAAGGGUGCGUAGGUGGUUAAUUAAGUCAGCGGUGAAAGUUUGUGGCUCAACCAUAAAAUUGCCGUUGAAACUGGUUGACUUGAGUAUAUUUGAGGGAGGCGGAAUGCGUGGUGUAGCGGUGAAAUGCAUAGAUAUCACGCAGAACUCCGAUUGCGAAGGCAGCUUACUAAACUAUAACUGACACUGAGGCACGAAAGCGUGGGGAGCAAACAGGAUUAGAUACCCUAGUAGUC